RNAcentral lists this transfer RNA (74 nucleotides) under Campylobacter fetus subsp. fetus. RNAcentral's name for it is "tRNA-Gln(ctg)". It matches the Rfam family "tRNA". Rfam says of the family: Transfer RNA (tRNA) molecules are approximately 80 nucleotides in length. RNAcentral also lists the same sequence under 1 other name. The record is from RNAcentral. Lineage: Bacteria; Pseudomonadati; Campylobacterota; Epsilonproteobacteria; Campylobacterales; Campylobacteraceae.
UGCCCUGUAGUUUAGUGGUAGAACUGCUGACUCUGGAUCAGCUAACCAAGGUUCGAAUCCUUGUAGGGCAUCCA